RNAcentral lists this unclassified non-coding RNA (341 nucleotides) under soil metagenome. Its description in RNAcentral is "partial contains 5.8S ribosomal RNA, internal transcribed spacer 2, and large subunit ribosomal RNA". The stretch from base 1 to 120 matches the Rfam family "5.8S ribosomal RNA", at positions 35 to 154 of the family's 154-position model. The record is from RNAcentral.
GAUGAAGAACGCAGCGAAACGCGAUAAGUAAUGUGAAUUGCAGAAUCCAGUGAAUCAUCGAAUCUUUGAACGCACAUUGCGCCCGCCAGCAUUCUGGCGGGCAUGCCUGUUCGAGCGUCAUUACAACCCUCGACUUCCCUAGGGAAGUCGGCGUUGGGGACCGGCAGCACACCGCCGGCCCUGAAAUGGAGUGGCGGCCCGUCCGCGGCGACCUCUGCGUAGUAAACCAACUCGCACCGGAACCCCGACGUGGCCACGCCGUAAAACACCCAACUUCUAAACGUUGACCUCGAAUCAGGUAGGACUACCCGCUGAACUUAAGCAUAUCAAUAAGCGGAGGA